RNAcentral lists this ribosomal RNA (254 nucleotides) under uncultured bacterium. RNAcentral's name for it is "partial 16S ribosomal RNA". It matches the Rfam family "Bacterial small subunit ribosomal RNA", at positions 524 to 776 of the family's 1533-position model. The record is from RNAcentral.
UACAGAGGUCUCAAGCGUUUGUUCGGAUUCAUUGGGCGUAAAGGGUGUGUAGGUGGCGCGCUAAGUCGGGUGUGAAAUUUCGGAGCUUAACUCCGAAACUGCAUUCGAUACUGGCGUGCUUGAGGACUGGAGAGGAGACUGGAAUUCAUGGUGUAGCAGUGAAAUGCGUAGAGAUCAUGAGGAAGACCAGUGGCGAAGGCGGGUCUCUGGACAGUUCCUGACACUGAGACACGAAGGCCAGGGGAGCAAACGGG